Non-coding RNA from Cyanistes caeruleus (blue tit), 4401 nucleotides. NCBI's taxonomy places the organism in Eukaryota, Metazoa, Chordata, Aves, Passeriformes, Paridae. The record is from RefSeq and is a predicted model, not a curated record.
ACUUCCAGGCCAGUUGGAGGGAGGCCAGAGAACAGUGGGCUAGUGAACAAGCCUCCUAAAUAAGGUGGCAGCCAGCAAACCAUCUACUGGGUAUACUGUCUGGCACACUCCUUUUGCCAGACCAGACCCAAAAAUUGUUCAGAGCAUCAGUUGCAAUGGGCCAUGCUCAUGCCAGUGAGAUGAAAUCCAUCAGCACUUUUGCCUUCAUCCAAUCUGCUUGGGAUAGCUGGAGCAGUGUCUCAGGCAGUGGCAAUGACUGAAGAAAAGGCUUUAAGACAGAGAGGAGAGGAGAAAAACCUACCUAGGAUCUGGCACUUUCCGCUUCCAAUUCAGGCUGCCCUCAGGUAGCUCACAGCAGUCCUGGACCUGCUGAGCCUAGAAGGGAAAGUGAGGCAUGCAGAGGUGCUGGCAAUAGGGACAAGGAACAUAACCUCUUUUAAGAGACUCAGAGAAAGGGGAACGUGAGCAAGCCUGAGACCUCAAAGCAGCACCUUACACAUCUGUCUUCUUCCACAUUUAUUUCUAAACAUUGUCCUUGAGCUGAGCUCACCCCUCAGAGAGGGAAUUGGCUGAGGUAAGUGUGAACUGAAGUGCCCAUGCUACAGCUGGGGCUCUACCACUUGUUUCCCCCUGCAGUUUAUCUACGCACUCACUGCUUUGCCACUUACUGUUGCUGCACCAUUUACAGUUCAGGAUAUCUCCAUCACUCUCCUAGCUUAUAAGCUCAGGAAAGCAGUUGCUGUGCUGCCAGGACUCGAUUUGCUUGCCUUUAUCUACCACUAUUUCCAAUUCAGCUGGCAUGAAUGAAUGAAGAGAAACACCACAAUACUCCUAAGUCACUGAUGCCCUCCUUUCCUGCCGGAGAUCACUGUACAUCUUGAGGUGACAGAAGACAUUUUGGCAUCUGAAACAGACUCAUAUUCAUCUGUAUUUCAGCCUGACACGACACCAGUGAAAUCACAGCUCAGACUGCAAGGUUUGAGUUUGUUGGCUUGCUGCUGGCAACAGGAUCAGUGAGUAGUUACCUAACCAUGGGCCAAACGCUGCACUGCUGACUCAGGCACAGAAGGAGGUUUUCAAAGUGCCUGGGGAACUUAAGUUCCAAGUGAAAACAGCACUUGUACCCACAGCCUCACAGCCUCACUCAGAGCUGUCUUUGGCUUCAAUAACAGAUAGGGACAGAAGGACUUGAGUUUUCUGACUCACAUGUCUGUCCUGUCCCAUAGACACUUUAACGCAGGAAAAAGUCAUCCAGAGCCCUAACAUACAACCAAAAGUAGACAAUACUUUAUAACCACAGACUAGUCACUCUGACUCCUGAGCAGCUCUCAAAAGUAACUAUAUUUUGUCUUAACAGAGGUCUCAAGGGAUUGGGAAGGUGUUAUUGAAAGGUAGGCUCCUGGACCACAGACAAAUAUAUAAUAUAUCAAGCUGUGAGAUCCUAACCCAUCUAGGGUUUUAUGAGUCAAAAGGAGAAAAUGAAAAGGAGGGAUCAGCAUGUAUGCUCACAAGUGAGCAUAGCUCUAUUAAAUAAUCACUAGAUACUAUAUCUGUGGACUUAACACAGUUGGAAAAUGACCUACAAGUUGGCCACAAAGUUUCAGAAAAUCUUAAUCCAACAGUUUUAAUAAAUUAAGCUGAAAAUGCUUUCCUUCUUUUCUUUGUGUUAUUUUUUAAGGCAAAAUUUAUGUAUACUUUGAACUACCGUUCAAACUAUGAAUUCAAAGAUGACAAGAGACAGAUGAAAAGCCAAAGAGGUUCGGCCAUGAAAUCAAGUCCUGUAAGGCUACUGAAAAGAACAGGGCUAGAAGGUUGGCUGGUGAAAAGUGCCUUCUUUGAAGGGACUGACUUCUACCUUCUGAGGUAGUUCUCAUUCAAACCCCUCAUCAACUGUUUGGAAUCUUACUGCCAAGAUCAGAAAAAGUUCCUGGGACUAACUGGAACUCAUACGUAGCAUUGAAAAACCAAUCAAAUAAAAGGUAGAGGAAACCUUCUUUGUGUUGUGAAAUGCAGAGAAGCCAGAGGAAAGGAAUCAGAAAUAGCUUUUUGACACCACCACAAAAGAAAGCUGAGACCUCCACUCGUGUGGCAGCUGAAGACUCUAAGACAUGUAAAACAGCUUGUGGCAACAGCCUGAAAGUGUCUUGCAAUAUCGUGUCCUCAUUUUGCCUGGGCAGAUGAUGAAACCACAUAGCACUAACUCGGCAGCUCACAGCAGGCAUUGUGCUACAGCUCCACAGGCUGUCAUUACGUGGGCUGCUGCCUCCUGCCUCUGCUGCCUACAUCCCCAGGGCUGCGUACAGGGCGCAGGAAAGGGUACAAACUUUCAGCUGGUGUAAAAUGGCAGAGCCCCACCAGAUUCCCUGAGACUUCAUUGAUUUACAGCAGCUGAAACUAUGGCCCCUGCUAUGCUUAAAGUCUGAGACAGGCUUUCAUUGGACACAAAAGAAUACGCUUUGGGACGCUUUGAAACCUGUGCUGUGCGCAAGCAAGGAGCUAAACGAUUCCCAAGAUUUUCUGUGAGCCAUGUACAAGCACACACUGUGCACUGAGUGCAAGCAGGCUUCACCAGACACACAGACACAGAAUACGCUCCCUGGGAUGUGCCAGGGUGAAGAAGAGUUUUCUAAGUCACUUCAUUUUUACUGGAAACCCUGCUCCAGUCCUCUCACAUACAACGCCGUGUGCACUCCUCGUAACCAGCAUUGUCUGAACUUGUGGUAUUUUAAUAAACCUUCCUGCCAAGCCAAGGACGCUCUAAGACACAUCACCUUUGUCCAGAGGAGGAUCCCAGCUGCAGCGAAGUCCAGAGAGUGUGAGCUCUGCUACAAACCAACACAUAGGUAUGUUAAAUGAGUUCUAUUAAAAAUAACUGCUCUCCGUACUGCCUGGAGUGGAAGGGGGCACAGGCUGUUUAGAGAGUGCACAUGAGAGUGACAGAUUGCAAUAAAAAAUCCACUAUACACGGAGGAAAAUGAGGCAGUACAAAUGAAUGCCUCUUUUUUUAUUUCAUAGGGACAGGUUGGCAAAAGCAGGUUAUUGGGAUUGGGCUGCAAAGAAGAGAGGAAUUUUCUUUUUUAUUCUGGAAUCACGAUUCAUCUUCAUUAUUCAGUCACUCAAGCUUCCUUGGAAACAGAGUGCCACUGAAUUAUGGCAGUCAUAGAUGAAUUCAGCUGAAAAAUAUAUGUAUAAUAAUGAGAGAGAGUAAAGCUGGUCUUCUUGUGCAGCCCUACCAAGAGACAGCCAGACAAAAGCAUGAAAAAAUUGACUGUCUGGCCAAGAAUGAAAUUGCUGGCAAGUCUGGUUUCAACCCUGCUAUUAGCUUUCUUGCAGCUGCUUCAACUACCCAAGCAGUACUGAGAUAAGUGCAUUGUCUGAAGUCCUUUUUCUUCCUAACUGGGGGCAGUAUAUUCAUUUGCAUAUAGCCUAUUUCUGAUAAAAACCUCAUCUGGGAGAACUCAGGAGCUAACAGUUAGCCACCUUAGACAAAACAAAAUAAAAAUUAAACAAAAUCCAAGGGUUUUGAUUCCAAACAAGGCAGUCUGAAGUGUUCCUGCAUUUCAGGAUGAGCGUCGUGCUUCCUCUGGGGGCAGAGGGCUCUCCAGCUGCAUCGCACAUGGGGCAGCUCUGCAGUGCCAAAGGGGCAGGAUGCAGGUGGCUGCACAGGCUGGGGGAGGCGAUGUGUUCUUGCAAUCUCUCUCCCUUGUGCAACGGAUGGAUGGGCAGAAAAGAGUGGCAGGGGUGGAUCUUUAUCCCUGAUGCUCCUGUCCUGGCACUGCAGCCACCUCCAUGACACAAGGAGCUCUGAGCAUAAAUUCUGUGUGUUUCAGGGGGAGAGGGGGGACUGGGGUAAAGGCUGGCUUGCGUCUUGCCCCUGUCCCAGGAAGAUCACGACUGGGCGCUGAUGGAUCGGGUCAGGAGAGGUCACGCUCAGGGUCUGACCCUCAGGAAUAUAUUUUGGACCUGAUCUAAUGAUAAAGUGUGACACUAUGCCAGCCUUCAGGCUCACUCAGCUCACAGGCAUGCCAUUAAGGUUUCCUCUCUUCAGAGGUGUAAAGCACUUCUGUUGCAAGCCAGUAAAAGAAGGUACUGUCUUAGGGUGGAACAGAAAAGGUUAUGGAACAUUUGCCAAGAAAGUGCCUCUGCUCUUCUCGUUCCAAAACACACCAGGGCUUAAAAAAAAAAAAAAUUGAAAAGUUUCAAAAGGCAUCCAGCGAUUGUUUUUUAGGAAACAAAAGAAGCACUUAUGGGUUAGGUUUUCCAAGUUAACUGCAUUAGUAGAUACACUAAACAGACAGCUUGAUCUGGAUGAGUCACACAGCAGAAGACGAACAAUGACCUGUGUGUUCCUCCAGUAAAAAUCGUUCCUUUUUUUGCUGUCAAUAAAGACUUUUCAAAAUA